RNAcentral lists this ribosomal RNA (846 nucleotides) under uncultured archaeon. RNAcentral's name for it is "bacterial SSU rRNA". It matches the Rfam family "Archaeal small subunit ribosomal RNA", at positions 21 to 859 of the family's 1478-position model. The record is from RNAcentral.
CCCCACUGCUAUCGAGGUGAGACUUAGCCAGGCCAGUCGAACGACUCGGACUAUGGCGAGAAGUGGCAAACUGCUCAGUAACACGUAGCUAACCUACCCUCAGGACGGAGACAACCCCGGGAAACUGGGGAUAAUCCCCGAUAGGUGGGGGUACUGGAAAAGUCCCUCUCCCAAAGCUCCGGCGCCCAAGGACGGGACUGCGGCCCAUCAGGUAGUUGGCGGGGUAACGGCCCACCAAGCCGACAACGGGUACGGGCUGUGAGGGCAGGAGCCCGGAGAUGGAGACUGAGACAAGGCUCCAGGCCCUACGGGGCGCGGCAGGUGCGAAAACUUCGCAAUGCGCGAAAGCGUGACGAGGGAACCCCAAGUGCCGAUGGUCUUUUUGAUCGUCGGCUUUUCAAGAGUUCAAAAAGCUCUUGGAAUAAGAGCUGGGUAAGACUGGUGCCAGCCGCCGCGGUAACACCAGCAGCUCAAGUGGUGGUCGCGAUUAUUGGGCCUAAAGCGUCCGUAGCCGGGCCAGUAAGUCCUUUGUGAAAUCGGACGGCUCAACCGUUCGGCUUGCAGGGGAAACUACAGGCCUUGGGGCCGGUAGACGUUGAGGGUACUCCGGGGGUAGCGGUGAAAUGCUCUAAUCCCUGGGGGACCACCAGUGGCGAAGGCGCUCAACGAGAACGGACCUGACGGUGAGGGACGAAGGCUAGGGGAGCGAACCGGAUUAGAUACCCGGGUAGUCCUAGCUGUAAAGUAUGUUGGCCAGGUGUAGGGCGCUCCACGAGGGCGCCCGGUGCCGUAGGGAAGCCGUUAAGCCAGCCGCCUGGGAAGUACGGUCGCAAGGCUAAAACUUAA